This 253-nucleotide ribosomal RNA is filed under the name uncultured bacterium. Its description in RNAcentral is "partial 16S ribosomal RNA". It matches the Rfam family "Bacterial small subunit ribosomal RNA", at positions 524 to 776 of the family's 1533-position model. The record is from RNAcentral.
UACGGAGGGUGCAAGCGUUAUCCGGAUUUACUGGGUUUAAAGGGUGCGUAGGCGGGCCUUUAAGUCAGUGGUGAAAGCUCCGAGCUUAACUCGGAAACUGCCGUUGAUACUAUUGGUCUUGAAUUCGGUCGAGGUUGGCGGAAUGUGUCGUGUAGCGGUGAAAUGCUUAGAUAUGACACAGAACACCGAUUGCGAAGGCAGCUAGCUAGACCGACAUUGACGCUGAGGCACGAAAGCGUGGGGAUCAAACAGG